GGCAUAGCUCAGUGGUAGAGCAUCAGCUUUCCAUGCAGAUGGUCCCAGGUUCAAUCCUUGACAUCUCCA
Podarcis lilfordi (Lilford's wall lizard) is the source of this 69-nucleotide non-coding RNA. NCBI's taxonomy places the organism in Eukaryota, Metazoa, Chordata, Lepidosauria, Squamata, Lacertidae. The record is from the annotation of a GenBank genome assembly.